UCCCAGACACCUGAACCAAUCAACCAUGCA
This 30-nucleotide non-coding RNA is filed under the name Rattus norvegicus (Norway rat). Lineage: Eukaryota; Metazoa; Chordata; Mammalia; Rodentia; Muridae. The record is from RNAcentral.